Molecule: ribosomal RNA, 443 nt
Filed under: uncultured bacterium
Lineage: Bacteria
Description: partial 16S ribosomal RNA
Rfam family: Bacterial small subunit ribosomal RNA
Source: RNAcentral
CCUACGGGAGGCAGCAGUGGGGAAUAUUGGACAAUGGGGGGAACCCUGAUCCAGCGACGCCGCGUGAGUGAAGAAGUAUUUCGGUAUGUAAAGCUCUAUCAGCAGGGAAGAAAGAAAUGACGGUACCUGACUAAGAAGCCCCGGCGAACUACGUGCCAGCAGCCGCGGUAAUACGGAGGGGGCAAGCGUUAGCCGGAUGUACGGGGUGUAAAGGGAGCGUAGACGGGGAUGCAAGUCUGAAGUGAAAGGCGGGGGCCCAACCCCCGGACUGCUUUGGAAACUGUAUGGCUGGAGUGCAGGAGAGGUAAGUGGAAUUCCUAGUGUAGCGGUGAAAUGCGUAGAUAUUAGGAGGAACACCAGUGGCGAAGGCGGCUUACUGGACUGUAACUGACGUUGAGGCUCGAAAGCGUGGGGAGCAAACAGGAUUAGAUACCCCGGUAGUC